RNAcentral lists this transfer RNA (73 nucleotides) under Mustela putorius furo (domestic ferret). It matches the Rfam family "tRNA". Rfam says of the family: Transfer RNA (tRNA) molecules are approximately 80 nucleotides in length. Their secondary structure includes four short double-helical elements and three loops (D, anti-codon, and T loops). The record is from Rfam by way of RNAcentral. Lineage: Eukaryota; Metazoa; Chordata; Mammalia; Carnivora; Mustelidae.
GCCUUGCUGGCUCAGUUAGUAGAGUAUGUGACUCUUGAUCUCAGGGUCUUGAGUUCAAGCCUCAUUUUGGGCA